GGAUCACUGGUGUAAUGAUUAGCACUCUGGACUUUGAAUCCAGCUAUCCUAGUUUAAAUCUUGGUGGAACCC
RNAcentral lists this transfer RNA (72 nucleotides) under Xenopus tropicalis (tropical clawed frog). Its description in RNAcentral is "Xenopus (Silurana) tropicalis (western clawed frog) tRNA". It matches the Rfam family "tRNA". From Rfam's summary of the family: Transfer RNA (tRNA) molecules are approximately 80 nucleotides in length. Their secondary structure includes four short double-helical elements and three loops (D, anti-codon, and T loops). Lineage: Eukaryota; Metazoa; Chordata; Amphibia; Anura; Pipidae. The record is from Rfam by way of RNAcentral.